RNAcentral lists this ribosomal RNA (440 nucleotides) under uncultured bacterium. RNAcentral's name for it is "partial 16S ribosomal RNA". It matches the Rfam family "Bacterial small subunit ribosomal RNA", at positions 338 to 795 of the family's 1533-position model. The record is from RNAcentral.
CCUACGGGAGGCAGCAGUGGGGAAUAUUGCACAAUGGGGGAAACCCUGAUGCAGCGACGCCGCGUGAGUGAAGCAGUAUUUCGGUACGUAAAGCUCUAUCAGCAGGGAAGAAAAUGACGGUACCUGACUAAGAAGCCCCGGCUAACUACGUGCCAGCAGCCGCGGUAAUACGUAGGGGGCAAGCGUUAUCCGGAUUUACUGGGUGUAAAGGGAGCGUAGACGGCAGCGCAAGUCUGGAGUGAAAGCCCAUGGCUUAACCAUGGAACUGCUUUGGAAACUGUGCAGCUAGAGUGCAGGAGAGGUAAGCGGAAUUCCUAGUGUAGCGGUGAAAUGCGUAGAUAUUAGGAGGAACACCAGUGGCGAAGGCGGCUUACUGGACUGUAACUGACGUUGAGGCUCGAAAGCGUGGGGAGCAAACAGGAUUAGAUACCCCAGUAGUC